RNAcentral lists this ribosomal RNA (450 nucleotides) under uncultured bacterium. RNAcentral describes it as "partial 16S ribosomal RNA". It matches the Rfam family "Bacterial small subunit ribosomal RNA", at positions 354 to 796 of the family's 1533-position model. The record is from RNAcentral.
GUGGGGAAUUUUGGACAAUGGACGCAAGCCUGAUCCAGCAAUGCCGCGUGCAGGAAGAAGGCCUUCGGGUUGUAAACUGCUUUUGUACGGAACGAAACGGUCCUGGCUAAUACCUGGGGCUAAUGACGGUACCGUAAGAAUAAGCACCGGCUAACUACGUGCCAGCAGCCGCGGUAAUACGUAGGGUGCGAGCGUUAAUCGGAAUUACUGGGCGUAAAGCGUGCGCAGGCGGUGCUGUAAGACAGGCGUGAAAUCCCCGGGCUCAACCUGGGAAUUGCGCUUGUGACUGCAGUGCUGGAGUGCGGCAGAGGGGGAUGGAAUUCCGCGUGUAGCAGUGAAAUGCGUAGAUAUGCGGAGGAACACCGAUGGCGAAGGCAAUCCCCUGGGCCUGCACUGACGCUCAUGCACGAAAGCGUGGGGAGCAAACAGGAUUAGAAACCCCUGUAGUCC